AGGCUCGUAGCUCAGUGGGAGAGCGCCUCUCUGACGCAGAGGAGGUCGGCGGUUCGAGACCGCCCGAGCCUACCA
RNAcentral lists this transfer RNA (75 nucleotides) under Candidatus Rokubacteria bacterium RIFCSPHIGHO2_02_FULL_69_13. RNAcentral describes it as "tRNA-Val". It matches the Rfam family "tRNA". Rfam says of the family: Transfer RNA (tRNA) molecules are approximately 80 nucleotides in length. Their secondary structure includes four short double-helical elements and three loops (D, anti-codon, and T loops). Further hydrogen bonds mediate the characteristic L-shaped molecular structure. tRNAs have two regions of fundamental functional importance: the anti-codon, which is responsible for specific mRNA codon recognition, and the 3' end, to which the tRNAs corresponding amino acid is attached (by aminoacyl-tRNA synthetases). tRNAs cope with the degeneracy of the genetic code in two manners: having more than one tRNA (with a specific anti-codon) for a particular amino acid; and 'wobble' base-pairing, i.e. permitting non-standard base-pairing at the 3rd anti-codon position. RNAcentral also lists the same sequence under 5 other names. The record is from RNAcentral. Lineage: Bacteria; Candidatus Rokuibacteriota.